Molecule: ribosomal RNA, 253 nt
Filed under: uncultured bacterium
Lineage: Bacteria
Description: partial 16S ribosomal RNA
Rfam family: Bacterial small subunit ribosomal RNA
Source: RNAcentral
GCAAAGCGGUGACGCAGAGCGAAACUUAAAAAGCGGUCUCAGUUCGGAUUGAAGGCUGAAAUUCGCCUUUAUGAAGCCGGAAUUGCUAGUAAUGGCAGGUCAGCAUACUGCCGUGAAUACGUUCCCGGGCCUUGUACACACCGCCCGUCACACCAUGAGAGUUGGGGAUACCCGAAGCCUGUGAGCUAACUGUAACAAGAAGCAGCAGUCGAAGGUAGAAUCAAUGAUUGGGGUGAAGUCGUAACAAGGUAAC